CCAGACUCCUACGGGAGGCAGCAGUGGGGAAUAUUGGGCAAUGGGCGCAAGCCUGACCCAGCAACGCCGCGUGAAGGAAGAAGGCUUUCGGGUUGUAAACUUCUUUUGACAGGGAAGAGCAGAAGACGGUACCUGUCGAAUAAGCCACGGCUAACUACGUGCCAGCAGCCGCGGUAAUACGUAGGUGGCAAGCGUUGUCCGGAUUUACUGGGUGUAAAGGGCGUGUAGCCGGGCUUACAAGUCAGAUGUGAAAUGCGGGGGCUCAACCCCCGAACUGCAUUGGAAGCGGGAGGGCUUGAGUAUCGGAGAGGGAGGCGGGAGGCCGAGGGGGGCGGUGAAGUGCGUAGAUAUACGGAGGAACACCAGUGGCGAAGGCGGCCUGCUGGACAUUAACUGACGCUGAGGCGCGAAAGCGUGGGGAGCAAACAGGAUUAGAUACCCCUGUAGG
This 448-nucleotide ribosomal RNA is filed under the name uncultured bacterium. RNAcentral's name for it is "bacterial SSU rRNA". It matches the Rfam family "Bacterial small subunit ribosomal RNA", at positions 331 to 794 of the family's 1533-position model. The record is from RNAcentral.